This 75-nucleotide transfer RNA is filed under the name Loxodonta africana (African savanna elephant). It matches the Rfam family "tRNA". From Rfam's summary of the family: Transfer RNA (tRNA) molecules are approximately 80 nucleotides in length. Their secondary structure includes four short double-helical elements and three loops (D, anti-codon, and T loops). The record is from Rfam by way of RNAcentral. Lineage: Eukaryota; Metazoa; Chordata; Mammalia; Proboscidea; Elephantidae.
ACAUUGGUGGCUCAGUGGUAGGUAGAGUUCUUGCCUUCCAUGCGGAAGACCCAGGUUCAGCUCCUAGUUAAUGUA